This 497-nucleotide ribosomal RNA is filed under the name uncultured bacterium. RNAcentral's name for it is "partial 16S ribosomal RNA". It matches the Rfam family "Bacterial small subunit ribosomal RNA", at positions 28 to 507 of the family's 1533-position model. The record is from RNAcentral.
GAUGAACGCUGGCGGCGUGCCUAAUACAUGCAAGUCGAGCGAACGGACGAGAAGCUUGCUUCUCUGAUGUUAGCGGCGGACGGGUGAGUAACACGUGGAUAACCUACCUAUAAGACUGGGAUAACUUCGGGAAACCGGAGCUAAUACCGGAUAAUAUUUUGAACCGCAUGGUUCAAAAGUGAAAGACGGUCUUGCUGUCACUUAUAGAUGGAUCCGCGCUGCAUUAGCUAGUUGGUAAGGUAACGGCUUACCAAGGCAACGAUGCAUAGCCGACCUGAGAGGGUGAUCGGACACACUGGAACUGAGACACGGUCCAGACUCCUACGGGAGGCAGCAGUAGGGAAUCUUCCGCAAUGGGCGAAAGCCUGACGGAGCAACGCCGCGUGAGUGAUGAAGGGCUUCGGAUCGUAAAACUCUGUUAUUAGGGAAGAACAUAUGUGUAAGUAACUGUGCACAUCUUGACGGUACCUAAUCAGAAAGCCACGGCUAACUACGUG